GACGUAGGGUGCGAGCGUUGUCCGGAGUUACUGGGCGUAAAGGGCGCGUAGGCGGUCUUGUGCAGUCGCACGUGAAAGCCCCCGGCUCAACUGGGGAGGGUCGUGCGAGACGGCGAGACUGGAGGCAGGGAGAGGCUGGUGGAAUUCCCGGAGUAGUGGUGAAAUGCGUAGAGAUCGGGAGGAACACCGGUGGCGCAGGCGGCCAGCUGGCCCUGACCUGACGCUGAGGCGCGAAGGCGUGGGGAGCGAACGGG
Molecule: ribosomal RNA, 254 nt
Filed under: uncultured bacterium
Lineage: Bacteria
Also listed under: 1 other name
Description: partial 16S ribosomal RNA
Rfam family: Bacterial small subunit ribosomal RNA
Source: RNAcentral